ACAUAUUUUUUGUUUGCAAGUCUUAUGGAAAUUUUAUGUAAUGCUGCAUGGGCAAUUGAGUUUUAAGCAUUUCUUUGUAUUUCAGAUCAAAGGAAUGGGUAAACAAUUGUCCUCGUGAAGAUCUUUUGGGCAAAAGUGCAGAAUAUCUUUACAACAAUUGUAAACUGUGUUCAGAUCAUUUUGAGGACUGCAUGUUCACCAGCAUGGAAAAGAAGAGAUUAAAUCCUCAGAGUAAGCCAACUCUAUUCAAAAUUCCCAAUCCUCCACCCCAAAUUGGGAAAAAACGAAGGGCAAUUGAAAGAAAAGAAAUUCAAUAUCUUCCAUCAGCAAAGAAAUCUCGACAUGAAGAAAUAGCCAAUGUUACAUGAAUAAGAGGAGAGCAACUUAGCAAAGAGUGCGACAAUAAGCAUGGGGAAAGUUUUAACAUUGAUGAGAUGGAAGAAGAAAAUCAAACAACUGAAGGCAACCAAAUGUAUAAUAUUCCCAAGAAUCAAUCAAAUGAAAAUGGAGAAGGUAAAAUGUAAUGAUUUUGCAACAGCUAGAUUACAUUAAGACUUAACACAUUAUAAGCUAGUUAACGAAGUUUUUCAAUGACCACAAAUUUUCUUUAGACAUUGCAUGUGAGUGUUCAAAAGAAGAUUUCAGUGGUCAAACAAACCAAUCCCUCUCAAAUAACACCCCUAGGAAGAGAAAACA
Molecule: long non-coding RNA, 696 nt
Organism: Xenia sp. Carnegie-2017
Lineage: Eukaryota; Metazoa; Cnidaria; Anthozoa; Malacalcyonacea; Xeniidae
Exons: 4
Source: RefSeq, a predicted model, not a curated record